UACAGAGGGGGCAAGCGUUGUUCGGAAUUACUGGGCGUAAAGGGCGCGUAGGCGGCCUGUUAAGUCGAACGUGAAAUCCCCGGGCUCAACCCGGGAACUGCGUCCGAUACUGGCAGGCUUGAAUCCGGGAGAGGGAUGCGGAAUUCCAGGUGUAGCGGUGAAAUGCGUAGAUAUCUGGAGGAACACCGGUGGCGAAGGCGGCUUUCUGGACGGUAACUGACGCUGAGACGCGAAAGCGUGGGGAGCAAACAGG
This 253-nucleotide ribosomal RNA is filed under the name uncultured bacterium. Its description in RNAcentral is "partial 16S ribosomal RNA". It matches the Rfam family "Bacterial small subunit ribosomal RNA", at positions 524 to 776 of the family's 1533-position model. The record is from RNAcentral.